Molecule: ribosomal RNA, 776 nt
Filed under: uncultured Neocallimastigales
Lineage: Eukaryota; Fungi; Neocallimastigomycota; Neocallimastigomycetes; Neocallimastigales
Description: partial large subunit ribosomal RNA
Rfam family: Eukaryotic large subunit ribosomal RNA
Source: RNAcentral
GAGACUCUGUGCGCGUGCAUAUCAAUAAGCGGAGGAAAAGAAACUAACAAGGAUUCCCCUAGUAACGGCGAGUGAAGCGGGAAGAGCUCAAAUUUGAAAUCUUAAAGGGUUUCCCUUUACGAAUUGUAGUUUAUAAGAAGUGUUUUCUGUUGGAGUUUCGGUAAAAGUUCUUUGGAAUAGGACAUCAUAGAGGGUGAGAAUCCCGUAUUUGAUCGUUACUUUCCAGCUGUGUGAUACACUUUCAAAGAGUCGGAUUGUUUGGGAAUGCAGUCCAAAAUGGGUGGUAAAUUUCAUCUAAAGCUAAAUAUUGGCGAGAGACCGAUAGCGAACAAGUACCGUGAGGGAAAGAUGAAAAGAACUUUGAAAAGAGAGUUAAACAGUACGUGAAAUUGUCAAAAGGGAAGCGUUAGACACCAGUGUUGUUUAGUUGAAAAUCAAUUCAAUAAUUUUUGAUUUUGAGUAGUAUUGACUUCAUCAGCUUGCUGCUUUCUUUUCAGGAAUUAUUGAAUGCACUUUUCAGUUAACAAGUCAACAUCAAUUUCUUUUGUUGUAAAAGGGUAAGAGGAAGGUGGCUUACGCUUCGGCGUAAGUGUUUAUAGCCUUUUACCUCUGCAAUCGGAGAGAUUGAGGACAGCAGCGUAGACUCUUCGGGGUUAGAUACACUUGUGCUAAGCUAUAGCCUUGUAUAGACAACUUGUUGACUAUGCUCAGUCAUGUAGCUUACUCGCUUGUGCUAUUUUACCUACGCUUAGGAUGUUGACAGCAGUAUAGACUGU